RNAcentral lists this long non-coding RNA (269 nucleotides) under Anas platyrhynchos platyrhynchos (common mallard). Its description in RNAcentral is "lncRNA (ENSAPLG00000024847.1)". Lineage: Eukaryota; Metazoa; Chordata; Aves; Anseriformes; Anatidae. The record is from RNAcentral.
AUGGCAAAUCAGUGGAAAAAGUGGAGAAGGAAUCCAGUAGACCUAAACAUUGUCCCGGAGAAAAAAUCCCCGCACUCCUCUGCUCUGCCAACUGAACCAUGGAGGCUACCGACUGAAAUAGCAUCACGAGUGGCUGACGUUGAGCGGACCAGGGCUGGGGAGAAACGUGACCCCAGGCCAAGGCUGCAUCUCUGCGAAGCGAUGAGCUGACACCAGCUGGGACGCCUGAGCUGGAUCUGUGCUGCCAAACACAAAUCACUUCUCCGCUG